RNAcentral lists this ribosomal RNA (301 nucleotides) under uncultured bacterium. RNAcentral's name for it is "partial 16S ribosomal RNA". It matches the Rfam family "Bacterial small subunit ribosomal RNA", at positions 509 to 809 of the family's 1533-position model. The record is from RNAcentral.
CAGUAGCCGCGGGAAUACGGAGGGUGCAAGCGUUAAUCGGAAUUACUGGGCGUAAAGCGCACGCAGGCGGUCUGACAAGUCAGAUGUGAAAUCCCCGGGCUUAACCUGGGAACUGCAUUUGAAACUGUCAGGCUGGAGUCUUGUAGAGGGGGGUGGAAUUCCAGGUGUAGCGGUGAAAUGCGUAGAGAUCUGGAGGAAUACCGGUGGCGAAGGCGGCCCCCUGGACAAAGACUGACGCUCAGGUGCGAAAGCGUGGGGAGCAAACAGGAUUAGAUACCCCGGUAGUCCCUGUCUCUUAUAU